RNAcentral lists this non-coding RNA (20 nucleotides) under Arabidopsis thaliana (thale cress). The record is from RNAcentral. Lineage: Eukaryota; Viridiplantae; Streptophyta; Magnoliopsida; Brassicales; Brassicaceae.
UGACUAUUUUCUCUUGCCUU